This 378-nucleotide ribosomal RNA is filed under the name uncultured eukaryote. RNAcentral's name for it is "partial 18S ribosomal RNA". It matches the Rfam family "Eukaryotic small subunit ribosomal RNA", at positions 592 to 976 of the family's 1831-position model. The record is from RNAcentral.
CAAUAGCGUAUAUUUAAGUUGUUGCAGUUAAAAAGCUCGUAGUUGGAUUUCGGGUGGGACGCAGCGGUCUCGCAUUGCGUUUGUACUGCUGCAGCCCUCCUUCUUGCCGGGGGCGGCCUCUCGGACUUCACUGUCUGGGGGUCAGAAUCGGCGAUGUUACUUUGAGUAAAUUAGAGUGUUCAAAGCAAGCUUACGCUCUGAAUAUAAUAGCAUGGGAUAACACGACAGGACUCUGGCCUAUCGUGUUGGUCUAUAGGACCAGAGUAAUGAUUAAGAGGGACAGUCGGGGGCAUUCGUAUUCCGUUGUCAGAGGUGAAAUUCUUGGAUUUACGGAAGACGAACAUCUGCGAAACCAUUUGCCAAGGAUGUUUUCAUUGA